This 472-nucleotide ribosomal RNA is filed under the name uncultured eubacterium WR866. RNAcentral describes it as "bacterial SSU rRNA". It matches the Rfam family "Bacterial small subunit ribosomal RNA", at positions 9 to 527 of the family's 1533-position model. The record is from RNAcentral.
GAGUUUGAUCCUGGCUCAGAAUGAACGCUGGCGGCAUGCCUAACACAUGCAAGUCGAACGAAGGCUUCGGCCUUAGUGGCGCACGGGUGCGUAACGCGUGGGAAUCUGCCCUUGAGUUCGGAAUAACAGUUAGAAAUGACUGCUAAUACCGGAUGAUGACGUAAGUCCAAAGAUUUAUCGCCCAGGGAUGAGCCCGCGUAGGAUUAGCUAGUUGGUGUGGUAAAGGCGCACCAAGGCGACGAUCCUUAGCUGGUCUGAGAGGAUGAUCAGCCACACUGGGACUGAGACACGGCCCAGACUCCUACGGGAGGCAGCAGUGGGGAAUAUUGGACAAUGGGCGAAAGCCUGAUCCAGCAAUGCCGCGUGAGUGAUAAAGGCCUUAGGGUUGUAAAGCUCUUUUACCCGGGAUGAUAAUGACAGUACCGGGAGAAUAAGCUCCGGCUAACUCCGUGCCAGCAGCCGCGGUAAUACG